ANANNUUGAUGCUGGCUCAGAACGAACGCUGGCGGCGUGCUUAACACAUGCAAGUCGAACGAGAAAGUUUCCUUCGGGAAACGAGUAGAGUGGCGCACGGGUGAGUAACGCGUAGGUAAUCUACCCUUAUAUUUGGGAUAACAUUGGGAAACUGGUGCUAAUACCGAAUGGUCUUCAUUGCUUUGGGGUGAUGGAGUAAAGGUGGCCUCUUCAUGAAAGCUACCGUGUAGGGAUGAGCCUGCGUACCAUUAGCUAGUAGGUGGGGUAAUGGCCCACCUAGGCGACGAUGGAUAGCUGGUUUGAGAGAGCGAUCAGCCACACUGGGACUGAGAUACGGCCCAGACUCCUACGGGAGGCAGCAGUGAGGAAUAUUGCGCAAUGGGCGAAAGCCUGACGCAGCAACGCCGCGUGGGGGAUGAAGCUUUAUGGAGUGUAAACCCCUGUAAGUAGGGACGAAAGUUACCUAUUCGAAUAGGAUGGGUAUUUGACGGUACCUGCAGAGUAAGCUCCGGCUAACUCCGUGCCAGCAGCCGCGGUAAUACGGGGGGAGCAAGCGUUGUCCGGAAUUACUGGGCGUAAAGGGCGUGUAGGCGGUAUUGUAAGUCAGAUGUAAAAGGCUACGGCUUAACCGUAGAUUGUCAUUUGAAACUGCAGUACUUGAGUGCGAGAGAGGGUAGUGGAAUUCCCAGUGUAGCGGUGAAAUGCGUAGAUAUUGGGAAGAACACCAGUAGCGAAGGCGGCUACCUGGCUCGUAACUGACG
This 761-nucleotide ribosomal RNA is filed under the name uncultured delta proteobacterium. RNAcentral's name for it is "bacterial SSU rRNA". It matches the Rfam family "Bacterial small subunit ribosomal RNA", at positions 8 to 745 of the family's 1533-position model. The record is from RNAcentral. Lineage: Bacteria; Deltaproteobacteria.